Myotis lucifugus (little brown bat) is the source of this 72-nucleotide non-coding RNA. Lineage: Eukaryota; Metazoa; Chordata; Mammalia; Chiroptera; Vespertilionidae. The record is from Rfam.
GCUGGGUAGCUCAGUUGGUUAGAGCAUUGUCCUGAUACGCCAAGGUGGCAGGUUUGAUCCCUGUUCAGAGCA